AUUAUUGAAACUUCAUCCGGGGCGCCGCGGCCCCCAGCGCCGGUGGAAACGCCGUGCUGCGGGGGAAGCGCGCGUACUCGUCCAAACCAAACCCCUGUGAACCUAUCGGGACGGGCCCGGGUUAGCGCCCGGGCAGUCCCGCUUUAUAAAAACGCUUAUUUGAGAAUGAACUUGAAGGUGGUCUGACCGCUGGAUAACAAACUGAAACAACUUUCAACAACGGAUCUCUUGGCUCUCGCAUCGAUGAAGAACGCAGCGAAAUGCGAUAAGUAAUGUGAAUUGCAGAAUUCAGUGAAUCAUCGAAUCUUUGAACGCACCUUGCGCCCCCUGGUAUUCCGGAGGGCAUGCCUGUUUGAGUGUCUUGAUAUCAUCAACCCCUCGGGUUCGCGCCCGACGCGGGUUGGAGUUGGGGGCUUGCUGCCGCGAGGCGGCUCCCCUUAAAAUCAUCGGUUUGGCCCGCAUCGUGCGGCUUGCACCUUUGGCGUUGUAUCUCCCUCGCCUUUGAUC
RNAcentral lists this ribosomal RNA (507 nucleotides) under uncultured Trechisporales. Its description in RNAcentral is "eukaryotic LSU rRNA". The stretch from base 209 to 362 matches the Rfam family "5.8S ribosomal RNA". Lineage: Eukaryota; Fungi; Basidiomycota; Agaricomycetes; Trechisporales. The record is from RNAcentral.